GUCGUACAAGGUAAGGCUUUUCACUCUUCGGAGUGACGAGUACACGAGUGGCGCACGGGUGAGUAACGCGUGGGUAAUCUGCCUUCGGGUUUGGGACAACUCCGGGAAACUGGAGCUAAUACCGAAUAAGACCACGAGGUCCUUGGGCCUUGCGGAAAAAGGUGGCCUCUUCUUGAAAGCUAUCGCCUGUAGAUGAGCCCGCGUCCCAUUAGCUUGUUGGUGAGGUAACGGCUCACCAAGGCAUCGAUGGGUAGCUGGUCUGAGAGGAUGAUCAGCCACACUGGAACUGAGACACGGUCCAGACUCCUACGGGAGGCAGCAGCCGGGAAUCUUGCACAAUGGGCGAAAGCCUGAUGCAGCAACGCCGCGUGAGGGAUGAAGGCCCUCGGGUCGUAAACCUCUGUCGGAAGGGAAGAAAGUAUUUUGGGUUAAUAUCCCAGAGUAUCGACGGUACCUUCAAAGGAAGCGCCGGCUAACUCCGUGCCAGCAGCCGCGGUAAUACGGAGGGCGCGAGCGUUAUUCGGAAUUAUUGGGCGUAAAGCGCGUGUAGGCGGCUGUGCAAGUCGGGUGUGAAAGCCCGGGGCUCAACCCCGGAAUUGCAUUCGAAACUGCAUAGCUAGAGUCUCGGAGAGGAGGGCGGAAUUCCCGGUGUAGAGGUGAAAUUCGUAGAUAUCGGGAGGAACACCAGUGGCGAAGGCGGCCCUCUGGACGAUGACUGACGCUGAGACGCGAAAGCGUGGGGAGCAAACAGGAUUA
RNAcentral lists this ribosomal RNA (756 nucleotides) under uncultured marine bacterium. RNAcentral's name for it is "bacterial SSU rRNA". It matches the Rfam family "Bacterial small subunit ribosomal RNA", at positions 61 to 780 of the family's 1533-position model. The record is from RNAcentral.